GGAAAGCUCAAAUGGGGAAUUGGCCCCGGAGGCAGCAGUAAAGAAUUUUGUGCAAUAUAUGAAGGUAAGACACAGAGAGGGCACCUUGCCUAGUCCGUCAAAUUAAGUGCCAGCAGACGCGGUGAAACUUAAGGGCUAGUUUUGUGGGCAAAAGCGUAAAGGGUGUGAUAGGCCGUUUUAAUUAAAAAGGGUUUUAUAAUUUAAGAAGGUAAAUGGAAUUUUUUUGUAGCGGUGGAAUGUGUAAAUAGAAAAAAGAACUUUAGACGUGAAGACUAUUUAUUUUUGAGAUUAUAGUGUGGUGGCUAAAACACGAGAGUAUGGGGAGCAAACAGGAUUAGGGACCCUGGUAGUCUAUACUGUAAAUAAUGAAAAAGAUGUGAAGCAAUCCUAAAAAGUCAGAAAUUUUCCGCUUGAGUAGUACGACCGCAAGGUUAAAAUUCAAAAAACUUGGCUGUUCACUGUUUUAAUUAGAGGAGCGUGUCGUUUAAUUCGAUAGUCCGCGAGAGACCUUACCCAAACUUGAAUCCCUCAUUGACAGGUAUUGCAUGGCCGUCGUCAAUUUGUGUAUUAAACAUAAAACAGAUUUAACCCAGUGGUUUGUCACUUGGAUGAAGUCAGGUCUUAUUGUCCUAAUGUUUGGGGAUUAGAUGCGCUACAUUUUUUUAUACAAUAGGAAACUUUGAGUGUGAAACCUGAAAAUAAGAGUUCGGAAAGUGCCUGGAAGAUAACGAAAAGUUGUAUUUAAUAGUAAUUGAAAAGUAGAGCGUUUCAAUGAAAUUUUUUCAGUGUUAGUACAAAUUGCCCGUCGCCUUUGCUUAGACAGGUUGGUUGAUUGCCCCUCAAGAGGGUUUCUAAUACCUCCGAGGCAGAGUAA
RNAcentral lists this ribosomal RNA (874 nucleotides) under Isopora brueggemanni. RNAcentral describes it as "partial small subunit ribosomal RNA". It matches the Rfam family "Bacterial small subunit ribosomal RNA", at positions 301 to 1484 of the family's 1533-position model. Lineage: Eukaryota; Metazoa; Cnidaria; Anthozoa; Scleractinia; Acroporidae. The record is from RNAcentral.